ACUCCUACGGGAGGCAGCAGUGAGGAAUCUUAGACAAUCGGCGCAAGCCUGAUCUAGCCAUGCCGCGUGAGUGAUGAAGGCCUUAGGGUCGUAAAGCUCUUUCGCCAGGGAUGAUAAUGACAGUACCUGGUAAAGAAACCCGGCUAACUCCGUGCCAGCAGCCGCGGUAAUACGGAGGGGGUUAGCGUUGUUCGGAAUUACUGGGCGUAAAGCGCACGUAGGCGGACUGGAAAGUUGGGGGUGAAAUCCCGGGGCUCAACCCCGGAACUGCCUCCAAAACUAUCAGUCUAGAGUUCGAGAGAGGUGAGUGGAAUUCCGAGUGUAGAGGUGAAAUUCGUAGAUAUUCGGAGGAACACCAGUGGCGAAGGCGGCUCACUGGCUCGAUACUGACGCUGAGGUGCGAAAGUGUGGGGAGCAAACAGGAUUAGAUACCCUGGUAGGAUAGCG
This 447-nucleotide ribosomal RNA is filed under the name uncultured bacterium. RNAcentral describes it as "bacterial SSU rRNA". It matches the Rfam family "Bacterial small subunit ribosomal RNA", at positions 335 to 799 of the family's 1533-position model. The record is from RNAcentral.